GUGAACAUACCUUCUGUUGCCUCGGCAGGUCGCGCCGGCGCCUAACCGCGUAGCACCCUACCCCGUAGGGCCUACCCGGGACGCGCCGGCGGUCCCUGCCGGCGGCCCACGAAACUCUGUUUAGCAUAUUGAAUUCUGAACGUAUAACUAAAUCAGUUAAAACUUUCAACAACGGAUCUCUUGGUUCUGGCAUCGAUGAAGAACGCAGCGAAAUGCGAUAAGUAAUGUGAAUUGCAGAAUUCAGUGAAUCAUCGAAUCUUUGAACGCACAUUGCGCCCAUUAGUAUUCUAGUGGGCAUGCCUGUUCGAGCGUCAUUUCAACCCUGCAAGCCCCCGUUGCUUGGUGUUGGGAGCCUACGGGGUCACCCGUAGCUCCUCAAAGUUAGUGGCGGAGUCGGUUCACACUCUAGACGUAGUAGAUUUUCACCUCGCCUGUAGUGCCGGACCGGUCCCCUGCCGUAAAACA
RNAcentral lists this ribosomal RNA (465 nucleotides) under Xylaria sp. F3. RNAcentral's name for it is "eukaryotic LSU rRNA". The stretch from base 161 to 314 matches the Rfam family "5.8S ribosomal RNA". Lineage: Eukaryota; Fungi; Ascomycota; Sordariomycetes; Xylariales; Xylariaceae. The record is from RNAcentral.